ACAUGAAGCUGGAAUCGCUAGUAAUCGCGAAUCAGAAUGUCGCGGUGAAUACGUUCCCGGGUCUUGUACACACCGCCCGUCACACCAUGAGAGUUGGCAAUACCCAACGUACGUGAUCUAACCCGCAAGGGAGGAAGCGUCCUAAGGUAGGGUCAGCGAUUGGGGUGAAGUCGUAACAAGGUAAC
RNAcentral lists this ribosomal RNA (185 nucleotides) under uncultured bacterium. RNAcentral's name for it is "partial 16S ribosomal RNA". It matches the Rfam family "Bacterial small subunit ribosomal RNA", at positions 1318 to 1500 of the family's 1533-position model. The record is from RNAcentral.